UACGAAGGGGGCUAGCGUUGCUCGGAAUCACUGGGCGUAAAGCGCACGUAGGUGGAUCGCUAAGUCAGGGGUGAAAUCCUGGAGCUCAACUCCAGAACUGCCUUUGAUACUGGCAAUCUCGAGUCCGGGAGAGGUGAGUGGAACUGCGAGUGUAGAGGUGAAAUUCGUAGAUAUUCGCAAGAACACCAGUGGCGAAGGCGGCUCACUGGCCCGGUACUGACGCUGAGGCACGAAAGCGUGGGGAGCAAACAGG
Molecule: ribosomal RNA, 253 nt
Filed under: uncultured bacterium
Lineage: Bacteria
Description: partial 16S ribosomal RNA
Rfam family: Bacterial small subunit ribosomal RNA
Source: RNAcentral